RNAcentral lists this ribosomal RNA (465 nucleotides) under uncultured bacterium. RNAcentral's name for it is "partial 16S ribosomal RNA". It matches the Rfam family "Bacterial small subunit ribosomal RNA", at positions 28 to 507 of the family's 1533-position model. The record is from RNAcentral.
GACGAACGCUGGCGGCGUGCUUAACACAUGCAAGUCGAACGGAAAGGCCCUGCUUGCAGGGUACUCGAGUGGCGAACGGGUGAGUAACACGUGGGUGAUCUGCCCUGCACUUCGGGAUAAGCCUGGGAAACUGGGUCUAAUACCGGACAGGAGCCAUUUUUAGUGGGAUGGUUGGAAAGUUUUUUCGGUGUAGGAUGAGCUCGCGGCCUAUCAGCUUGCUGGUGGGGUAAUGGCCUACCAAGGCGGCGACGGGUAGCCGGCCUGCGAGGGUGGACGGCCACAUUGGGACUUAGAGACGGCCCAGACUCCUACGGGGGGCAGCAGUGGGGAAUAUUGCACAAUGGGCGCAAGCCUGAUGCAGCGACGCCGCGUGGGGGAUGACGGCCUUCGGGUUGUAAACUCCUUUCGCUAGGGACGAAGCUUUUUGUGACGGUACCUAGAUAAGAAGCACCGGCUAACUACGUG